Molecule: long non-coding RNA, 411 nt
Organism: Gadus macrocephalus (Pacific cod)
Lineage: Eukaryota; Metazoa; Chordata; Actinopteri; Gadiformes; Gadidae
Exons: 2
Source: RefSeq, a predicted model, not a curated record
CCAGUUCAGAAGUUCAUAUACGUUGUCCUGCAUUACUUCCUUGCUCUUUAUACGGAUCAUCUCCUGGAGAUGGGAGGAAGAAAAGUUUUUCAUUAACAUCGAGGGGUAUGAAAUUGAGUUUCCAGCGAUUCACCGCGAGGCUCUGCGCGGUGUGCUAACCGUUCUCCUGCAGCUAUUGCCGGGCAAAUCUCCGUGACGUCGCGGCUGGAACUGGACUGAAUAUCCGUCGAAUAUCCAACCUAAAACUAACUUCACCGCGGUGGGUUGUGGACUAAAUAAAUAUAUAUGUCAUGAAGAUUGAUUUGAGGCAAGCAAACUAAUGGACAAAAAAAUAACUGGGGAUAACAAAUAAGGAUCGGAGCCUAAAAUCGAUAAUAUCUCUGUCUCUGUCUAACAUUCAGAUGAGUGGUG